GGUUUUACUCUGUUUU
Molecule: small RNA, 16 nt
Filed under: Arabidopsis thaliana (thale cress)
Lineage: Eukaryota; Viridiplantae; Streptophyta; Magnoliopsida; Brassicales; Brassicaceae
Description: ATSL150520
Source: RNAcentral